Long non-coding RNA from Drosophila gunungcola (fruit fly), 1556 nucleotides. RefSeq lists it as uncharacterized. The record is from RefSeq and is a predicted model, not a curated record. Lineage: Eukaryota; Metazoa; Arthropoda; Insecta; Diptera; Drosophilidae. The transcript has 3 exons.
AAAACAGACAGGCGAUUCAGUUUGUCAGACAAGCGCUAGACACCGACAUGGAUACUCGUGCAAGAACACUGCAACAUAUUUGAGGCAAUCAUUGAAUAGACAAAUAGAAGCGGUUGAAAAUCCAACGUAAUCAACCGCAAUCAACACCCAAAGAGCCAAAAGCAAUAAAGAAAAAAAGAAAUGCAUAAUCAACAUUUUUAUCAUUAGCGAUAGAGAAAUAUGCAAAGCAGAGCGACGAACGAGCCAAGUAUUUCAAACUGGAGAAUGAGAAUAAGAAUGCAGCGGAAAAACUAGACGGUGCGGGAGAAAUGGGGAAAUAAAUGAAGCACAUUAUAAAUGCCAGAGUACAUGCUAACUACAACAAUUAUCCUUAAUGUUGCUAGCCAGCAACUGCCAUUAGAGAGAAAUGCGGGAGGGAAAUCGCCAUGUCCAUGGCUGAUCACUUGCUGGAAAGAAAUUCAAAUUAAAAUGCUUCCAAUGGUAUGCAAAAUAGUUUCAAUUUUCCGCCAGAGAGCCCUCCAGGAAUGCUCAUUAUUCAACUGGCGAAGUUUUGAAGCUGACAGGACACUGCGGACAAAAAAUGGGAAUUAAAUGUCAAGGAAUGCGCCGAACAGCUCGAAUCAAUAUCGCGCGAGUCAAAUUGCAGUUAAUUACGGACCAUGUUAGGACAAACGCCUGUUAACAAGGCGCCACGACACGCGAUCGACACCAUUACCAACACCCCAGAGUUAAGGAUACGGAAUAUGGAAUAGGGGUAGUACCACCGCCACCAUACUACCAUACUAUAUAUAAAGGCAUACAUCGUACAGCUACGGCCACCGCCUGUAAUCAAAGCCAGCUGCCAACUGCCGUCUGCAUUCCAUUUACCUUGCUCAGAGCACUUUUCAAUUAUGUUAUUAAAACAAGCAAACGGGCAGUUAAGGACCCUUUUGCAGGACCUGCCCAACAUUGCGUGUCAGCCCGUUCGUUUGUUGUUGUUAGUUUUUAUAUCCACUCUCUCAUAUCGUUAAAUAUAUAAUUCUGUUUUUUUUUUUUAGAAUUUCCUAACUCAUAAAUGCUGCAGCAAUAGUAAUGGCAGUGUGGCAAACAUGAAAAUUCAAUUAUGAAUGCCCGGCUUAAGGUUGACGCCCCGUAAUUUCCAACCCAAUAGCCCCGCACGCCGCUCAAGUCUGUGGCCCAAGGCAAUUUGCAUGGGUAAAUAUUGUAAAUCUAUGACGGGUUUGCAAUCAUUUGCAAUCGGCGACCGCAGACGGAAUGAGCGGAGCGAUUCGCCCAGACAUCGUCUAAUUAUGUCGAGUGGCAAACAAGAUACAGAUACAGCUACAGAUACAGCUACAGAUACACUCGUAUGUGCAGCCUGCAGAUGCAAAUAAAAAUAAAUAUUUACAUUCAAUUUCGACAAACGCGCCAGUAACCGAGCGCCAACUUUGCCAAAGGAAAAUUGUGCGUAAAAGCAGCGGGAGCAGUCGACGCAUAUUUGUUUACCUCAAGCAACAAACCCUGACUUAAACCAGAACCAGAACCUGAACGCAAACCUGAACUGUACUGAAAGAAAU